GUCAAGAUCACAUGUGGUUGAGCUGUAUAUACGUUGGAUGUUUCUUAUAGUGUGGUUGAACUGUAUGUGUCGGUUGAGUGAGUGUACGUGCAGUUGGGCUGUGUGCGAAGUGAGAUUGCACGUGAAAAGCAGGCAGUUUCUGCGACUUAGUCAUAAAAGGGGACGGUUUGAUGUGACGGGUGCAGUCGUGAUAUGAUAGAGCGGAGCGACGGUGUGAAAGCUGAGCCAAGAAAAUUAUCAUGGCUGUCGGGGCCGUAUUGGCUUGACGGCCUGUGUGCUGGCUAGUUGAGUGUGGCGGGUCAACACCAAGUAUGCUGACCAGCGAAGUGAUGCCUCUCACCAGUGUUGUGACCGGACGUUGUCCAGUGCCAAGUAUGGAGGGCAGGGUAGCCUCAAGGUAUUGCCGGUUGAGUGUGGCGGGUCAACUCCAAGUAUGCUGACCAGCUAAGCGUGCCUCCUCACCAGUGCCUCUCACCAGUGUUGUGACCGGACGUUGUCCAGUGACAAGUAUGGAGGGCAGGGUAGCCUCAGGGUAUCGUCAGACAGGGUGUGACCGUGUUCGUGAGGACGUGAACUGUACAUACCAUUAAUCUGUGCAACCUCCUGUAUAGGAGCUGAUCGUCAAAUAGAUAUGGACUGGAAUAUUACAUUUUUGUAAAUGUUUCAUUUGUAUGCCUAUAUUUGAUUUGUGUAUUGUGUAUAGGAGUAUGAGUGUAUUGGGUACCGCUGGUGUAAUGGAGUACUGAGUGUGUAUUUGAGUGAUGUACUGAAGGUGUAUUUGAGUGAUAUAUGACUGAGAUGUUUGGAUGAAUGUAUUUGAGGUGAGAAAGGGGUGUGCAAGCUGAAUAUUUGAACUUUUCUUGAUUUUCCAUUUCAUUUUGUUUUGAAAUAAAUUAUAUUUAUUUCAA
Molecule: long non-coding RNA, 908 nt
Organism: Haliotis rubra (blacklip abalone)
Lineage: Eukaryota; Metazoa; Mollusca; Gastropoda; Lepetellida; Haliotidae
Exons: 2
Source: RefSeq, a predicted model, not a curated record